CUGGAAUGGUAUACGCAAUGAAAUUUUCUCACAUAAGCAAUAGGGACUUGGUCAACAUGGCGAAUAAGAGGGUGAAUGCUAUUCCUUUUUUUAAAUCAUUUUUGCAAACCACGUUGAGAAAGGCCAACCUCCUAUGUACCGUACUCUUUUUGUACCUCGAAAGGGAGAGCGGGACCAAGCAUGUUCUCGCCAGAAGUAGAACACCGUAUUUCUUCUAUCGUGAUUAAUCUUCCAUCUACUCAUCCAUCUACAUAUAGUGUGUGUGCAUAAUCUGAACAAGGUGUUGCUCAUGCCAUUAUAUGAGGGAAAAUAGACUUGGAAAAGGAACCAUGGCCAAGCAUUCAGAAAGUGUCGAGAGUCUUGUAUGAAAGAUAUUGGAGCCACAUCCUAAGCUUCGACUCACUACAAAACAAUUUCUGGGUAAAAUAUUGUUCGCGUUUGCUAAGUUAUUUAAUCAAUAUAAAAUCCUUUUCAUUAUGCUGUAAAUCAAUUUGUUCGAACAAUCUUCAUUCUCUAAUCUUCUAUUUCAGGCUUUGUGCAAUUUACCUAUUUCUUGGGGCUUUAGUGUUCAUUUUUUGCUUGGUUGCCUCUUUGCCGAAUCUUGACAUGUUUUCUAUUUUUAAGUUUGUCAACACAAUUCUUUUGCUCUUGAUUUGUGUUCCAUUAUGCAUGUAUAAUUGAUUCCGCUCCAUAGUAAAUUUAGUUUCAAGGAAAACUUAAAAAUAUCUAAUAAUUUAAAAAUUUUGUAGUUCAACAAAGUGUCUAGCUGGUUAUUUAUUGCUAACAAUAAAUAUCAAACAAGUUGGCCAUGAGAACCAUACUCCAUAAGGGGAAAAAAUGAUCUUUGCACUAUCAGAUUGAGUGGAGUAGUUGUUGUACUCAAUGUUUUUAAAAUCAACUCGGUCAUCAACCCGAAAAAGAGAAAAGGGUCAAGGGUCGAAAGGUCGAAUCAGGGUCGAACCGGGAUUGAACCGGUGACUUUCAUAAAAUCAAAAUGAAAAAUAUACAUUUAUAAAGAAGGGAAAAAAUGAAAAGCAAAUAUUGAAAUCAAAUCACAAAACAAUAAAAAAUAUUUCUAUAAGCAAAUUUCGAUCACAAGUGUAGCAAAAACCAAACAAAUUUUUGAAAAACAAUAGGCUUUGGCUCCAUUCAAUGGUUGACAAACUUGUUCUCUUCGUUAAUUCAUUUGCCUCUCUCUCUCUCUCUUCUCAAGUGUAUUAACCAUUUUGUGGGUUUAAUCUCAAACAUAGUUUUCUUUAAUCUGAAGCUUUAUUUGUGAAUUGCCUUCUGCUGUUUCUGGGUAUUGAUUUGCAAACAAAAAUGGCUGUAACUUUAUAACUCUCUCUUUCAUUUUUAUUGUUUCAAAGUUUUUUCGAACAAUCUGGAUUACCAAUUAUCACACAAACCAUCUCAAAAAAAAAAAAAAAAUGAUUAAUUCCAUCAACUCAUUAUCAUUUAUAGGAAGCACAAACAACAAAACCCAACAAAUUUUUUAAAAUCUGAAAUUAGAUAUGAAAAUAUUAAAAAAAAAAAAAAAGCCAACAUAUUAUUUGAAACUUACAGAAUAUGAAACAAAAUCUUAAGUAAUUAAUGCAUUCAUACUUGAAUUAUUAUGAUAUAUUAACGCCUAUAUGCACCAAGUACCCUUAUAUUUUGAUUUAGGUUGCAAAUGGAUGGAUACAGUAGAAUUCGGGAGGAAAAGAACGAAAAUUGAUAAAAAUGAAAGCAAGUGAAAGUUCAAAAACCUGCAAAGAUGAGAAGGGCGAUGGAAAUAUGAUUUGACAAUGCUGGGGGUCAAUUGAUUGCAAUUAGAAGUCAAAAGAAGUGAAAUAUGAUCAUAACAUUUUCACAAGUCAAUUUUCAACUGCACAAGAAUAUUCUAGAUUUUUAGUUAGAGAUUGUGAUCUAUUUUUGAGCUAGUAAACUUUUGAAUUGGGAAAGAACUAUUUCAAGCAAAACUGUAUCCUUCUUGUUAGCUUUCCAAUACACUUUGAAUCGCCUCAAUCAGACAUUGGAAGAAAAAGUUAUGGCCAAAAUAUAGAAAACUGUCUGGUAAAAAAAGGGUAGGAACCAUGCGAUCGCAUGGUGUUAAUUGCAUGUGGUCGUAUAUAGGUGUGCAGGGAAUUUCAGGUAUGAAAUUGAUUCAAUGUUGCAACCACAACUUUGUACGUUGCGGUCGCAUAAAACAACUAUGGUUGCGAUUUUUCAGUUUCAUAAUUCCGUUCAACCACUUAUGGAAACAAAUCUCUGCACCAUAUAUAAGCACUAAAUCUUGUCUAAGAUCGGGAGAAUGCUCUCAUACACUUUUCUCUCAUCUUGGUGCUCAAAAAACUCCAUGAAGAACUAAAAUCGAGGUGAAGCUAGGAAGGAACUCUUUGGAUUUGGUAAUUUCACAUUCAUUAUUUCAUGUAUUCUGGUUUAUCAUUGUUAAACAAUUCUAGUAUUUAGAUUUUCAUUCUUAUGAAAUUACAUUGAAAUCGGUUUAACAUUUACAAGAUUUUUCAUGGAUUCAGUCAUAGUUUUUUCAUUGUUAAAUUAAAUUAUUUGUUGAGUUUCAAUUUCAAUUACUUAUUGUUGAGAUUAUUUUAACUUUUAUCAAAUUCUUUAUAAAUCUAGUCAUGCUUUUUCUAUCGAAAGAUCGAAAUAAUUGUUGAAUUUUAAUCUUAAUAUUACUUUAUUGACAGAUUAAUUACUGCAUUAUGCUUGAUGUAUAUGGUAGAUCUUUGAUCUUGUUCCAACAAAAAUGUGCGAAUAUGUUAUAAGUCUAAAUUUUAGGAUUGCAUUGUGAGUUAAAUUGAUCUUUAUUGUUAAAUCUUUCGAUUAGAGAGUUGAGAUGAAAAUUCUCCAAUUGAGUAAUAAAAAUGAAUAAUAAAUGUGAUUGACCCAAUCCAAUUGAGGGAAUUUCAACGCUUCACCAUCUCAAGACAUUAACCUUAAUUUCAUUACUUUAACAUUGAAUUCUCCUACACAUUUCAAGAGGACAAUCAACCUUUUUGGAUUCUUCGAUUAUUUUUCCAUCUCCUUGUGGAAUCGACACCCCAAAGCUAUACUACAACUAUCGCGUUAUUAUUUGGGCGUAAUGAAUAACUGAGCAAUCCGUUGAAGUAUCUGCCAUGUUAUGAAAUUUUGUGCGCAGUCCAUAGUAUCAAAGAUAUGCUCGUGCUUGCUUAGGAAUGUCAAUUUUUGGACACUUCUUAAACGUGCUCUUGAACCUCUCCCAUACCUCGAAAUAUGUCUCAAUAUCCAUUUGCUUGAAAGUAUAAACUUUAUUCCGAAUUUGAUGGACUCGAGAUUGCGAGAAGAAUUUCAUUGUAAAGUUUUGCAACAUGUCAUUCCAAGAUAAUAUGCUCCCCGAAGGUAAUGAGUAGAGCCAUGCUUUUGCGCUAUCCUUCAAAGUAUGAUCGAAUAAACACAUUCGAAAGACAUCUAAUGACAUCCCCUCAUGGCUGAUGACUACAUGUAACAUUUGAAAAGCUUGGAUAUGCUUGUGUGAAUUUUAUGUAGUUUUCUCGAAAGGUUUAAUGUUAUGAUGAUUCCGAAAGAGAUUGAUGACACUGGUAUGAUUUAGAAGUUAGCCUAUUCGAAGGAUGAAAUGAUAGGAGGUAACACUAGUACAUGCAUUGGAUUCACAUAAUCUCCUACUAGUAUUCGAUCCUCGUUGGAAAUAGGUAUCUGUAGAGCUGGUGGUGGUUGUUAAAUCAAAUGCUGAAUAUGAUUUUUGAUUUUGAUUCUCAACCAUUAGCUUGCUUUUCUUUGUUCUCUUCUGCGUUGUCUAAAUGUGCUUUCGAUUUUGGGGUCUACUCGAGUUAGAUAAUCUUGUUAGAAUCUUGUAGAAGCUGAUGACAACUUGAAAGAAGUGAAGCAGAAAGAAUUUAGAUAAUACAAUGAAUAACCUAAAAAAAAGGAGAAAAAGAAAAAAAAUAUCGAAUCUAAUAUAAACUAAUAAACUAAAAUUAAAACUAUUAUUUCUUGACAACGACGCCAAAAACUUUUUUGGUAAAAUCCCUAAAGCGCACGGGUUCGUUGACAAGUAAUAGAUAAUGUAAAUUUAGAGUUAUUAGCCCAUGAGGAAUAGUGUUUAAUUUUGAUCUACUAGUUAUUAUCAAGUUUGAUAAAGAGUAAUAUUAAAAGAGAUUUUUUUUUUUUUUUUGUGAUUUUGUAAUCUAACUUUAACUAAGAAAGCAAUUAAGAGUGGCUUUUAGCAAAUAUGUGAUGAACGUGUUGGAUUUCUGAAUCCCAUUAUUAGUGUUAUUUCCAAUUCUCGACCCAUAAAAAAUAGUAUUAUUUUCCGAAUGUUAAUGAAAAUCAAUAAUUCAAUUUAUUUAAUAUCAUUUUCCAAGAGAAUCAAACCUAUGCUUAACACAAUCUGAUUUUAUUCCUAGUCUAAAUUCAUAUGAAAAACAUGCAUUUAAUGACAUGAUUUUUCACGCGAUUGCAAACGCUAUACAUAUUAUUCAUAAUAUUUAUUGUCCAUGUGUUAAAUAUGCAGUAUUUUACCUAUUGUGAGCCUCCCAAUACUAUAAAUAGGCAAUAAGUUAUCUAAAUAGUGAUCGAGCAUUCAAAUAACACGAUGUAGAUGCAUAAAUAAUCAAGAAAUUCAAGAAAUUACUAAAUUAACGAGUCUUGAAUUAAAAACAACUAAUAAGGUUCGUCAUCUAUCUAAUACAAUAAAAAACUUAGUCUAACAUUUUUAUAAUUAAAUUACACAAGAAUAAUUGAAAAAAAUAUCAAUUAGGAAUCAGAAAUAUUAAUUAGGAGUUUUAUUUAUUUAUUUAUUUAUUUAUGUUCUAGACUUAAAUCUUGAAAUGGAGCUAUGAAUUUUCAAAAUCCUUGUAUUAUUUACCUUGGAUAGAUGUAUAGACUUAUUCUUUACCUCCAAAAUAUGUAAAAUAUGAUGAAAUUUGGGUUGAAUGCAAGAUCUCUACAUUAUGGUUGAAUUUUGGUAUUUAAAAGGUGCUAAAAAGAUUGCAUUGAAUUGUUACCAAAACAAAAAUAAGGAGAAUCGGAUUUUUUCCAUUUAGGCAUAGCCAAGGCGUGCAGCUAGCUUGUUUGGGGAGCCUCAGAGCCAAAAGUAUCUCCUCUACAGGUCUAGGCACGCGCCAAGGAUUUUACUGAUCAAUUUUCAGUAUUUUUUAUCAUAACUUUCUUUCUCAAUAUUCGAUUGAGGUGAUUAAAAAUGUGUAGGAAAACUAACUCUUGAGGUGAUUAAAAAUGUGUUGGAAAGCUAACUGAAAGGGAUACAAGAAUAUCAUUUUUCAAAUUCGCAAUUUGCUAUGCCAAAAAGUGUAUCAAUUUGAGGCUAAAAAUCCAAAGUAUAACUCUUUUGGAUAGAAAUUGAUGUUUCAUAAUAUUUUGACUAUAUUUCAUUUUUUUUUAUACUUCUAUUCUCGUCCAAUUGACCUAUAGCAUUCUCAAAUCUUCAUCUUGAGGUCCGUCACAACUUUUGAAUAUUUGUACUUUAGUCCUCAUCUUGAGGUCCGUCACAACUUUUGAAUAUUUGUACUUUAGUCCUCACACUUUUGAAUUUCGCCAUUCUUCUCUAUUUUAGCUCGUUUUCUCCAAUUCUUUACCCAAAUAUGAGUUUUACCUAUUAAACACAAUAAAUAACAAAUUAGAUAGUAUGUCAAUUAAGGAAUUAUAAAAUAUCAUUAUUAAAGGCCCCGAAUAAGUCCAUAAAAUACACUUAUCAAUUAACAUUGAUCUUUGAUUGUAAUUGUUUAUCUAUAAAAUCAUUUGAUCUAGUUUUUACCAUUAAUAGUUCAUUUUCAUAGUUUUUAACAUUGAGAGAUAGAGUAUGAGGUCUUGGCCGUCUGACUAUUAGUAUAUCAAUGAUGCGAGUUUCCGAUUUAAGGUUUGGAAAUGAAUGGACUAUAACUUGGAAAAGAUGAAAAUGCAUUAAGAAAGCUUAAGACAUUGCGAUUAUUUGAACACUUAAAUUAUAAAUACAUAGCCGCCAUGCCAACUUAGCUUUGACACUUAACUUUUACACAAAACUCAACAUUUUAAUUGGAGUCUUAUCUUUUCAAUAUAAUUUUUUGAAUUUGUGUGUCCAAAAAAAUUUAGCAUGUAAGUGUAACAAUGAGCAAAGAUUAAUUACGUUGAAUGUAACAAAACAGUGAUGCAACAUUCGAAAACAGUUGUCUAUAUAAUUACCUGAAGUUUUAUCACAAAGGUAAAUUUUAUAAUCUUCAAAUAAUAAUAAUAAUAAUAAUAAUAAUAAUAAUAAUAAUAAUAAUAAUAAUAAUCAAAUGUAUAAAGAUAAAGGAAAGAAUUCUUUAUUAUUAUUAUUAUUAUUUUUUAAAACCCACGUCAAAGUGAUUGGCAAAAAGUUGGGAGGCGGGUUGGGAUGGAAGGGAAGAAAAUUUUAAUUUUUAUUAUUAUUCUUUAUCAUUUAAUUUUUUGUUUAUUUGUCACAACUUAUUUAAAAAAUAACUUUUUUCAACGUCAUUUUCAAAUAAUCUCUCCCACACAAACACUAAGGGUCUGUUUGAUUGCAACAAACACUAAGGGUCUGUUUGAUUGCAAAGAUGGAAUUUGAAUAGAAAGAAAACGAAUUCUAGGAAAUUAAAUUGCUUAGAAAUUGUUUUACUGGGAAUUGUUAAUUAUUGUAUUUGAUUGAUAUAAUUUUUCACGUGGAAAAUAUUGAAAUAAAAGUGUUUUUGGUAUUCGUUUGACUUUGAUUUAUAUGAAAAUUGUCAAUUAAAAAGAUAGAGUUAAUUGGUAUUGGGGAUAGAAUUUGUUUCCAUUGCCCAAAAAAAGUCAAGAAAAUCAUCUAUCUUUUGGUACUCAUUUGACUUUGUUUUACAUGGAAAUUGUCCAUUAAAGGAAAUAUUUUUUUAAAUUAGGGAUAUAAUUUCUUUUCGUUGCCCAAAAAAAAUAAAAAUAAAAAUUGACCAGCAGUCUAGAAAAUGAAUUAAUUCAUUUUCAUCAAUUUGGUGAAAAAUGGUUGAGGUGGCAUGAAAGUGGAAAAAUGAAUUGCCUAAAAAAAUAUAUCUAUCAAACAUGCAUUUUUUUUGUAGGAUUUCCAUUUUCUAUGGAAAGGGGCCUCAUCUAAUAGAGCCUAAUAAAAUUCUAACUUGUUAAUGGGUAAUUAUAUUGAGACAUCAUUUCAUCUAUUAACUACACCACAUUUUAAUUUUUAUGAACGCCUUAACUUCAUAUUUUUCAAUUAUGUCCCUUGCCAUUUUUUUUUUCUUGCACAAAUUUUUACCCUCAACUUUCUAUUAUUUUGCAAAUUGUGUCAUUGAUAGUAAUUUUCUUCAAAAAAAUUUCGUAAAAAGACUCAGCCUUUGUUUGGGAAGAAUUUAUAAAUUGUUUAAUUUAUAAAUAAUACGAGAGGUAAAUAUUUGAAUAGUACUUGUGGAUCAAUUGAAAUAUGAAAUAGAAAAUGAAGUUUGAACAAUUUACUAAUGAUUUAUAAUUUUUUCCAACUAGAGGCUUAUUUGUCUAUCUCAUUUUUUAUAAGCAAAAUACAAAAACAAAUUCAAAGUUGUGAUAAAAUAUUUGGUCAUCAUUUCAAAACACAAUGACAAAAUAUUUGGACAAAAAUCAUUAUUAGAAAUAUAAUGGGGUAAUUUAAUUAAUUAAGAAAAAUAUAUUAUUCCAAUUCACCUUCUCCUAGUUAAUUAAGGAAUGUUGUUUCGAAAAUGAAAAAUGUGAUGAAAAUUUGGGGAUAUAAAAAGAAAAAUUUUCUUGCAAUUUCUAAUCGUGAUUUAAAUAGUGUCAACUUUGAUGUAAUUAUUAUUACCACUAUUUAAUUAAUAACAAGGUAAAAUUGUUCCAUGUGACCUCGAAAGAGCAAAUGUUACGUUAUGAAGAUUGGGGACCAAUGUGCUGAACAUGUCAAUGUUCGGGAAUAUCCUCAUAUUUAUUUAAUAAUUUUUUAUUAUCGAAACGACUCUGUAAGAGACGGACAUGCAGUUGGUGAACAAGUUGAAAAAAAAUAAAAAACACUAAGAACUUUGCUACUUGUACAGUUUUCAUUACACAUUUUGACACAAUUCGCCUCGAAUCACCUUAAUGGAUUCGACACGUGUCAUGCGCCGAUGGUAGAUACCCGCUAAACACCGGGCCCACUACCAAGGCAAUUUUGACUUUCUUGACUGAAAAAUAUUUUUGACCAAAUUUUGGUAGAGUUUCCCCUAAAAUAUGAACUAAACCACCUGAACAAUAAUCAAUUUUUCUUCAAAUCCAUACAUAUAAUAUUAAUCAGGGUACACCGGUCCCUCAAAAUACAAACUAUUCAAAUAAAUAUUUACCUGUUUUACAACCAACAAUCCUCAAAUAUACUAAAGAUACUAAAUAUGCAGUGAAUCCAUGAUAACAUUUUCUAACAUAAACUAUAUAUAACCCAAGAAACAGGUACUACCUAAUCCUGAUGAAAUAGGCCAUACAACUAAUGACAUGUGGCUCAAUUCGAUGAAUUGAUAGGCUCCAAUACUGCUCAACUCGGCUACUAUCUGAUAUAGAAAAAUGUGAAAAGAAAUACGAGCUUACAGCUCAGUGAGUGAAUAAUUUGCAAAUAAUAUACUUUUCUUUUAUGCAUAUUUUCUGAAAAUUUUAGCUAUAUUAAAACUUUGAGACAUUCUGAAAUUUGGUAACACUUUUAAAACAAAACAUGAUUGCAUUAUAAAAUUCUUUGUUCUUAAUUCUUGAUAAGCAACUGCAAAGUAUAAUGACAUAAUUAAUUUGAUAUCCAUGAAAAUUUAUUAAAUAUUGCUGCUGCUCAAUACUAUAAGCUGAAAGCUUUAUUCUGGAAACUGAAUUCUAUAAUUUGAAAUCUGAUAAGCUGUAAAAAUACUGAAAAAUCACACCAAAAAGGUACCGAUGAAUAGCCCUACUCAUUUACAGAGUAAUCUUGAUGUACAAGGCAAAACCAUUCAAAUAUGAUAAUCUGAAAUCCAUAAGCUGAACUGUAAAUAGGGAAAUGAAAGCUAAAGACUAAUAAUCCACUAAAUAUUUAAAAUUCACAUCAAAAUAUACCCCAUGUAAACAUUCACUAAUGAUCUGAAAGCUAUAAAAUCAUUUGCACAUAAAUCGUCUUAUCAAUACUUUGUACACGGCCGUAACCCCUCAGUGCACAAGAUGCAAACAACAUAAUCAUCUUUAUACAUGGCUGUAGCCCCUAGUGUAUAAUAGGUACCUUUACCCACGGUCAUAGCCCCUCAGUGAAUAAGAGUUGCCCUUACACAUGGUUGUAACCCCUCAAUAUAUAGGAGUUAAAUAUAUGACUCUAGUACACGGUCGUAGCCCCUCAUUGCACUAGAGUAAGAUAAUUAUAUCAAUUAUUUUUUGAUAAUUUCAAAAAAAUCAUGCUCAUUUACUAAUUUCUCGAAAAUAAGACAUUUUAUGUAAUUAAUAUGCUUCUAUAAAAUAAAAAGAAAAUCUUUUUUUUUUUUUUUGGAAAAGUAGGUUCUCCGCUCACCAAGACAAGCUAUAGGCUAUGAAUGCCAAUAAGCUUUUCCAAUAUCUUAGUCACCACCUUGUUGAAAUUGGAAAUUAAGUAAUCCCCAAGCUUGAGCUCCAAUUCGUACUUAUCUCACCUCUUUUCUUCUUCCCUUUUUCUUCCUUCCUUUCUUAUUCUGUUCUUUUUUCUUUUUUCUUUUCCAUUUUUCUUCUCUUUCUCGGCCUUUAUGCUUCACUUCCCGAUUUUUCUAGUAUGUGUGUGUGUGUUUUUGGGAGACAAAAUGGUCAAAGGUUGAAUAUAAAGGCCCACUUACUAAAAAUUGCAAGGGAAGUCCCUCAACUCCAUUUUAAUAUAACAUUUAAUCCUUUUAACUUCCCUUAAUAUAAAUGUAAAUUCCCAACUUUAAAUUGUAUCCAAUUAAACACUCAUAUAUUGCCAAUUAUAAAAUAAACCCCAAUUUUUGAUUGACUUUGACCUUGACUAAUCAUUUUUUGAUUUUUGAUCAAGAAAAAUUGAAUUGUAACACCUUUAGUGACAAGUCCAAAAAACUAAGCUGCGUAGUAGAAGACGAAGAGAAAUGGCUGUCCAACGGGAUCUUCGGCCUUCAACCGAACGCCUUUUACAUGCAUUGAGCACUUUUACAUAGCAACUAACCCAAUAAUCAAACCCUCACUAUAUAUUACAUAUAUACUGCAUCUUCAUAUAUGUAUAUCAUGUAUUGACUGGGGAAGGAAACCUGUUUGGAAAUUUUGUUGUUCCUUUUGAAUUUUAGGACUCUAAUAAUUUCAAAGAUGCACUCAAUGUUAGACAAUAUGAUAAUUGUAAAGCGUCUUCUCUUUCGAAGACUCCAGUUGGUUGUAAUGUUUUAGUAUAAAUACAUUAUUAAUAUAUCAUUAUUUUGACAUCCAAACCUAGCACUUUCAACCCAUUUAUUUUUUUCAUGGCAUCAUAGCCAAAUUAAACUUGCACUUUUUUUCCAGGUUCAUAAAUCCGCAAAUGGCCUCACCUGAAACAAAUUUCUCUCCCCUCAAAUUUGAAAGCAAUGGCCCAAAUGGAUCCUCUAACCUACGUUAUCUUCUACCUGCCUCCAUCAAGCUUGAAGGACCUGACUAUCUAGGAUGGCAAUCGUUGUCUCUACCAUUUUCCAAACAAUUGUGGUCAAUGAUGGCUCAUAUAAAGCAUUAGUUAUAGACACUUGCACAAGGUAGUUGCACCAUUUAUGACUAUCUUCAAAUUGCUAAGUGCUAAGGCUCUUGCUGAUCAAAGGACUGCAACGGGUUUUGUCCUCCAAUACUAUCAUUUUGCACUCAUUUUUAAUAAGCAGAAGAAUAGUCUCUCACAGAAAAAAGAGACCUCCCUGCAAACGAAUUGGCCUACACCAAAUACUCGAAAUGAUGGUUCCUCCAAUGUCCCGCAGUAUACACAAGCGUCAAUUCCGAAUCAAGGACAAUAUGCACUACGAAAUUGACCCAUAUGUCAAAUAUGUGGGAAUACAGGUCAUACUGCUCUUGACUACUUCCACAUAUUUUAUUUUUCAUACCAAGGCCGACAUCCUCAUGCCAAGCUUGCAGCAAUGGUCAUUGAAUCUAACGGUGCUUAUAGGCACCAAGUAUGGCAUGCUGAAGGUUCGGCCAUUUUGUUCUAUAUAAAGGCCCAUUAGAGAUGAAUUAUGCUCCUUUGCCAUAUAAAUGGUGACAAAAGUAGUGAUUGAUUAGAGAUUGCAUUAUUAGAUGCAAAGCCAACAAGACGAUGUUGGGUCCCAUCAAAAAAGGGAAAAGUAGAACCCGACAAAGGGAGAAAAAAAUAAUCCAGCUAUUUAUCUAAACAUUUUAACUUUUUAUUUUUUAACUACACUUCGACCCAAGUUUAGUUUCGUUUCAACCCAUUAGCUAUUGAGGUUCUUGAUCUUUUCUUUUCAAUGCCAGUCUAAAUUUUAAAACACUAAUUUUACUUGUAAAGUCUCGACCACCUUGAUCACUGUCACAAGUUAGCUUCCGUCUGAACCCCAUAUUUCAAUUUAUAAUUUCUGAAAUAUUAUUUUUUUGAAGAAUGUGUGUGAAAAGGGAAAAAAAAGGUUUUUAAUUUGUGUAAUAUUAUUUUAUAGAAGAUUGUGUGAUUGAAAAUAAGAGAGAAAAAAUUAUAAUUUGAAAUAAUGGGAGCCAAACGGGGGCUUAGUUGAAUUGAAUAUGCCUUUAAUAAGAAACUAGCACACACUUGGAAAUAAAACAUAUCCUAUCAUAUUCUGCAUAUAUAAAAGAACGAAACUUUGCUGGACACAUGCCGCAAUUUCACACCGUCUUCUUUUUUUUUUUUUUUCUUCAUUUCAUUGUUUCUUCAUUUUCCCACGCCAUCGGCCAUACCUCUUUCCUUCUCCAUUUUUCCACGUUAUCGUCAUACCUCUUUAAUUCUCCAACACAGUCACCCAUUUACCCAAGAAUACAUGACUUCUGCACGGUGCUACCCUGAUUCAUGAAUUAAAGUUUUUCUCUCAUUCUCUUCCCUAAUUGUAAACUUUCUCUGGACAUUGAUCAGAAUUUUAGCCGCCUCAUUUGCCUACUUCCAGGUAAUGAUUUUAAGAAAUGGAAAUAGUGACGCUGGAGUAAUUAGUCGGAUGCCAGGUGUGUGCUCUUCUCCGACUUCAUUUUAAAUUUUAAAAUCUCUCUCUUUUUUUUUUUGUAUAUUUCAUUUUUCAUUUGUGUUAUAGGACGGUAAUUUUUUUUUUAAUAAAUGAAAACCUGGCUGGGAGAAAUUUUUUUUUUUAAAAAAAAAGCAAAAAAAAUUAAUAAUAAUAACAUUUUUUUAGGGAAAAAAAACAUGGCUCUUUAGCUCCUUGCGUGAACGGAGCAAAAUGCUCCAUGUAGCAGUGCAUGAUGCUCCAUGCAUGCACGGAGCAUUGGAGAAAUUUAUUAUUAUUUUUAUAUAUGCUCAUUCAGAUUUUCCUUUUUUCUUUUUUUUUUUUGUUUUGUUUUCCUUUCUAAUUUUUGUGUGUGAGUAUAUGUUUAUUGGAUUUUGUUUAUUGUUAGUCAGUUGUAAGCGUCCUGUUACCAAGAGUACAAAAAAUGAUCUUAAUAUUAUGUUUCAUAAAAUCUGUAAAUGCUAAAAGGUACUAUGGGAUGCAGAUAUGUUUAUAUGUGGCAUGCUUUAGCUGGAUACUGGGAAGGAGUUCCCCUUCUUUUGAAUCACUAAAGAAGUACAAUCCUAAGCUUGCUUAUCCAGUUCGAUCAUUGGGAAAUGCACCAUAAGUUCCACCAUAAGCUCUAAUAAUUGUACGAAGUAUUUUCUUCAUUUUAGAUUGUAAGAGCAGGCAUAUUUAUACUAAUCAAUGUCUUUAUAUUUCCUUUUGGAAGGCUCCUAAGGUUGAUGAGUUGAAGUUUCUUGCAUCCCAACUUUACUAUAGCAAUUCCGAAGGUUUGGUUUCAACUGGAAAAUUGAUCGAGGUAAAAUUUCAAAGAUACAUUGCUUCCAUAAAUGUUUUGUUCAUGCAAUUUCAUCAAUAUAAAAAGUAUGAUCAUUGGAGCUACAUAAUAACUUAAAAGAAGGGGGCAUAAAGUAAAUGUCUUGCGAGGUUAUGGGUGUUGGGAUUUGAAUCCAAAAUCACCACCAUAUAUUAAUGUGUGGAAUUAAUUGGUCCUAAAUAACUAUGUUAACUAAAUGCCAAAGUAUAUUUUUUUGUUCGCUUAUUUAGUUGAUUAAUUAGUGCAAUUACAUUCAAGACAAUAGUAUCUCCAACUUCGAUUAAUUCUAUUUGGGAGUGCUUGAUAAAUGCAAUUUAUGCACUUAUUUAGGCCACAUUAUUAAACUUUAAGUCAUUCAAUUAUUAAUUUAUAUUUAACUUUGAUCAAUUUUCUUUUUAUUUUCAGUGAUGGACUUGCCGGAAGCAAUUGGAGAGAAAAGGACGAUUAUCGAAUAAAAAUGCAAUUUUGGGAUCAAACUCAACGUGCUAGAAAUUGAAAGACUUAAGUGCAUUAAUUAUAAGGAAGUGAGGCCUUGAAAGAUAAAUUGUAACUAAUUGGGCCUCAAAUAAAUGGAAAGUGAAAAAGAAUACUUGGGCCUCAAUAAUUGUAGAAAAUGGGCUGCCUUGGGAUUUAUAAAAGAUAGAUAGAAAACGGCAGCCAGGAGAAAAAGGAAAACGGGAGAAAAACCUAAAAGAGAAUUAGUCUUCUUUGGGGAGUCAACAAAAACGGCUGCUAGGGGGGGCGGGGAGAAAAGAGGAGAAUUUGGACGGCUGCUGGUAGAAAGAAAUUGAGUAACAGUAGGGCUACCAAACUAUAUUAUAUAUAUACACAUUGAGAGGCCGCUAACGGAGUUGCUGGGGAAUUAAAAAGGCAGCUGCUUGGAGGAAAAUAAAAGUUGGCUUUGAAAGUCAGGCACUGCAGGCUGUUGGAAAAAAGGAAGGGAUGAAUUCUUGCGGCUUUGCUUUGGAAUUCAAUCACAGUGGCAGCCAAAUUAAAGGAAGCAAAACGGGAGAAUAAUCUAGAGAAAAUUGGUCGUUUUUGGGUAACAGUAGGGCUGCCAAACUAUAUUAUAUAUAUACACAUUGGGAGGCCGCUAACGGAGUUGCUGGGGAAUUAAUCUAUAGACAAAAAGGCAGCCAAUUGGGGGAUUAAUACACAUUGAUACACACGGAACCGAGAGGAAGAAAAACCAUAGAAAAGCUGGUUGGAAAUAAGAGAUUUCACAUUGGAUUCCAAGAAAGGCUGCCGGCUGAGUUUUUUGUGCAACUUUCUUCAAUAAUUGUGCAAGGAGCUUGAAAAUUGAAUCACUUUCCGUCGAUUUUCGGUGAUUUCCUUCCACUUUUAUUUGUUUAAUUCAACAUGAUGCUAGGCUAAAUCUUUACAUAUUUGCGCACCAUUAGGACAAUAAAUUGCUUAUUCGUAGUGUUGGAAAACUCAUGAUAGGUAGAGCACUAUUAUUGGGACACACGGACAAUAAAUAUUAGGAAUAAUAUUUGUGACGUGUAUGAUCAUACGUGAUAAUCUUAAAUGUCAAUGCAUGUUUGCUAUAUGAAUUCGGACUAGGAAUAGGAUCGUCUUGUGGUAACCAUAUAUUUAUUAUAUCUUAGAAGAGAAUAAUAAAUAAAACUGAAAUUAUCGAUUGUCGCAAUUGCAAAAAAUUUACGUAGUUAUUACUGGUUGAGAAUUAGAAUUAAGUAUUGAUCAGUGGCAUCAAAAAUCUAACACGUUGACACGUUUGUUUUUUAAACCAACUUUCAUUGUUUUUGCAAGUUUUAGUUAUAAAAAUUUGUUAGCUAUUCAUUUGAUCCUUUUUUUUUUUAAUUACAAACACGAAUUUAAAUAUAUCAAAUAUACCAGAAUUGAUCAUUGUUCCCUGUGGGACGAUAAUUCUGCCAUCAUGAUUAUUACUUGUACAACGAACCCAUAUGCUUGCGGGAUUUUGACGAACAAUGCUUAUUAACUCUAACUUUAACCUAUGUUUGUCUCUUUCUUUUCUAGUGCAUUAAAUAUUAGCAUCAAGUUUAGAUUAAAUUGAUUUCUUGUGAAUUUGAUUGCAUUAUUACUCCUUGGAAUGUACUUAGCUUUUACCUUGAUAGCGUCUUUUAGGUGUAGAAUUCUUUAAUUCAAAUAUUUUGGUUAAAGCUUUAUAUGAAAUAAUGUUUCUGUUAUAUAUUAUUAUUUUAUUUCAAUUAUUUGUGAGUCAGAGAUUGCAAGCAUAUAUGAGAAUAUAGGAAAUGUGCAAGAAACUCAAGCUUCUUUACUGUGAGAAAGAGCAUCUCCCAAUUUCAAGCUUGACACUUUUUGAAAUUUAUUUUUCUUCUAUGUUCAGAUGGUUGUUUUAUUUUUUUUUCCUUUACUUUAUCACAAUUCAACUAAAGAUACUAAGGAUAUGUUUAAUUGCAAGCAUGAAAUUUACAUGAAAAGAAAAUAAUUUCUGGGCAAUUGAAAAUUGUCAAUUAUAGUGUUUAAUUGAUUUUAUUUUCAACCUAGAAAAUAUUAUACUUGUCAAUUUUUUAUUAAUAGGUAAAUAGGAGAGAGAGGGAGUAGAUGAGAGAGAAAUAGAGAAUGAAUUACCUGGAAAAUAAAAACCUACUCUUGUUUUGAAGGAAAAUAUGGUCAUGUGACCAAAAGUAGGAAAAUAUUUUCCAUGGAAAAAAAUCAAUCAAAAUAGCUAAGAAGUAGGAAUUUGGGUAGAAAAAUAUUGGCAAUUAAAUGCACUAUUAACUUAUAUUAAAACUUUAUCAUGAAGAUUAUAAGGCAAAAGAUUUUGUUGGAGCCAGUUAGAAAAUGAGUUAUGUAGUAUAUGAUAAUCGCGCAACUAUUACUUGCACGAAAUGUUCAAAUUCUCUGAAAGUGACUAUUAAUUAGGAAAUGAGAGAUUUACUUUUAUGUAAAUCUUAUAGGAAUAUAGAAAAGUCGUCUAUCAAUGAAUUAUAUUGUGUUAAAUAUUUGUACAUAUUGACAUUAAAUAAGUUAACUUCUUCUUAAUGGAGGCAUGUUGACUAUAAGCCAUUGGAUAAGAGAGUUCAUUUGAUGAUUGUGCAAAAGAGACUAAGAGCUUAUUUGGGAGUGAUUUUUCACCCCCAAAAAUUGAUUUUUUGAUCCUUAUUUCACUAUUCCAACCGUGAAGUUUAACUACUUCUCUCACGGGUGGCCCCCACUUUUUUCCUAACGGUCACAAAAUCAAUUCUCAAAAUCACUCUCAAACGGGGCCUAAGAAGAAAUUACAGUAUGAUAUACUCGAUCUUGUAAUGACUAGUUUUGAGACUAAUCAAAUUCAUUGCCUUUGUGACCAGAUUUGUUGGCGGUGUGUUUAUCUUGAAAUUGUUAAAUUUGAUUCUUUGAGGAUAUUUAUAUACAUGAACUGGGACCUUGUCCAAAAAAAGCUUUCUCUAAAGCUACUGAUUAGCUUGGGUAAGAUGAUAUUUUAUUAUUUUCAAUUUUUAAUCGGUCCAUGUUUUUCUAUUUAUUUUAUCAAAUUUAAUCCAUUAGUACUUACUAGCAUGUGAAUAUAUGAAAUUGUACAGUAAAUAGAAAGUUCUACCAUAUAAGAUAUUGUAAAAAAUUGGUAAUAAACCAUCGCUUACACUUUCUUUAAUUACGACUUUAUCCUCCUCCUAGCAUAGCCUCCUGCUUUGAUCGAAAAAUUGACUAAGGACAGAAGCAAGCUACAAGCAUUAGCAACUGCUUUCAUUUUAUGGAAAUGGGAUCCCCAAUAGCUAGAGACAAAAGAUUCAUAUGAGAAAAGAUAAGUAAACGGGCCUCCACCUGAGCCUCCAAAGAUAAAGGUACAUGAAUAGCCAUUUGAUCCCCAUCAAAAUCUGCAUUGAAUUCCUUACUAAUGGAUGUAAACAAAUAGCAUGCCCCUUCACUAAAACGGGCUGGAAUGCCUGUAUGCCUAAUCUAUGCAGAGUGGGUGCUCUAUUCAGCAAUACAGGAUGCCCCUGCAUAACUUCCUGAAGUAUUUCCCAUACAAUCAGUUCUUUUUCCUGAAUUUUACUCUUAGCAACUCCUAUGUUCGAAGCAAGAUGUUGUUUAAUUAGACCACGAAUUACAAAUGUCUGGAAAAGCUCUAUUGCUAUUUCGCGCAGCAAUCCACAUCGAUGUAAUGAAAGUGAAGGACCAAUGACGGAAUGACCUGAAUAUUGGGUUAUCCAUUUUUAGUAAGUUACUAUUUAGCCUCAUUAUUUGAAAUUUUAGAGUUAUGCUAUAUAGCCACAAUGGGUUGCAACCCUAGUUUAGUUAAUCCUAGAUGGUAGGCUAAAUGAAAGGUGAAAUUCAAUGACUUAUUUAAUUCCACUUAUUAUUUAAUGUCAAAUUAACGCCACCUAGAUUGGGGUUGUAACCCUAGUGGGGUUAAUAGGAUUACUCAAAAUUAUACGGUUGGGAUAUUGUUGUUGUUGUUUUUUUUUUUUUUUAAUUGUGUGAUAAAAAAAGAAGAAAUUUUUUUUGGGAUUAUGUAUAAUAUUAUUUUAUUGAAGAAUAUAUAUUUGAUAAGAAGAUAGAGAAAAAUGAAUUAUAAUUUUAAUAGGGCCAAACACGGGUUAAAUAAUGUAUGCAAGUUGCAAAGCUUGUACAGAUUGUUUUCUCAGAUGGUAAUAGUCAUUAUCUUUAAUCAUACCAUUCUUUUUUCUAUAAUAUUUAAUUGUAUUUAUUAUGUUGGAAAUUUUAAUGACAUGUAUGGUGAACAGCAUUUGGUAGAUCAACUUUUUUUUCGAAGUACGUCAAUUUUGUUUGGCAAUAGUUCAUCGUGUUCCCAUCAAACUUCUUCGUCCAAUGCUUUGUUUACUAACUCAAUUAGAAUCAAUUUUACUAGGGAUGUGUUAGUUGUUGAACAAGCCAAUUUGCUGUAUUAUAUAUGUAGGUUCACUUUUAGUACUCAUCCGGAAACCAGAUAUGUAAUAAAAAUAUUUUUGAUCUUCAUGUUACCAAUAAUAUAAAUGAUUGUUUUAAUGUAUCUUGUUAUUGUAAAGUAGAACACUUUGUUGUGAUAUUUGCACAUUGAGACGUCCAAGGUCAUUUAUACUUAAGUCGGCCUUUAUAAUUUGUUGUGACGUUUCUGUACUUUUUCAAAAGGUUAGACUGCGAUUUUUCUCCCAUUGUUGUUAUUUAAAUGCUAAUGUAAUGAGAGAGAAAUGUCUCACCUUUACUUAAUGAAUUUCUUCUUUUUCGUUUUUUAAUUAAAUUUAAAAUAAUGAAUUAUGAAAAUUGGCUUCAUAUGCACCAGCCUUUGUGCAAGGAAGGCAUGUGUGAUGGCUAAGAUGAACAUAUCUUCGUUUGCUUAUUUUCAUAAAUUUAUAAUUAUGCUACUCUUCAAAUACACUCUUAAGCACUUUGAAGCUAUGUUCUUAGAAUUUAACUCAUUGAGUUGUUGUUUGUCUAUCAUUCUCCGAAAAUUCUUUUUUUUUUCUUUUUAAACCCAUUUUCAAUCAUACAUUAUCAUAAUGAAAUAUUUUGCAUGUGAAUUCAAAAAUUUUCUUACCUUUCAACCACACAUUAUUAGAAAAAUUACUAUUUCAAAACUUAUUCUCCUAAAAAAUUCUUUCUAAUAGGCAUUAAAUAAGUGUUGAUGUUGAUAUAAUGAGAUUGUAUUGUUCUUCUGUUGUCAAAAUAUGGAUUCUAAUGUUCAAUUUGAAUUUAAAUAAUUAAUAUAUUAUACUUUUACAACUGGAUAAAAUAUUGAAAGGUGUUUUAAUUCAAAAACUAUGGGAUUUGUAAUAUCACGCAUUCUUUGUGAAAAAUGGUAAAGUUUGAUUCUUUUGUUCUUUUGCAUUACAAAUGACACAUGUUCCGAAUAAGGUGUCUCCCAAUGCAACGGUUUUGUUAAUAGUUGGACGUCACAUUGUGGUUCCAUUGUUGUAGAUGACAUAGCUCCGAAGUUCAUAGCGAUUUUGGAGAGUCGACUAGAUAGCUUUGAAAAUGGCCCAAAUAUUGAAGAUAGAGAGUCCGUGUGUUCGUUGUUUUCCAAAUUGUAUACAAUUGAUAACAUCAUCUAUCAAUUGUUAUAGUAAAUUCUUUAGAUUGAUUUUAAUGUAUUAAUUCAUGGAACACUUUACAUUUGUGUUGUGGCAUCAAUUUGCUCGAUUAUGUUAGGAACCUUAGUUCAUAGCAGCGAAUUUUUUAACUUUAAAACGAUAGAUUGUUUAUUUUUUUAUUCAAUUAGUCACGUGCUUGGAAACAUGUCAUUAAGGGCAGUGUUCAAAUUCUGAACAUCUUGUAUUCAGGAAAGAGAUGUUAUCUUUUCAUCAAGAUAUUCAGUAAAUAUCUCUCGUCUAUGGAUAAAUAUUUUUUUCUGAGUACAAGGUAUUCAGAGCUUGGCCAUUGCCCCCAACAUUAUAUGUUUUCAACUAUCAAUUGAAUAAAAAUAAAUAAUCCAUCAUUUUAAUGAUAGUAAAUUCACUGUUAUAAACCAAGGUUCCUAGCAUAAUCAAGUAAUUUUGUAAUUCUUAUUGAUUUCACGACACAAAUGUAAAGUGGUUUAUGAAUGAACACAUUAAAAUCUAUCUAAAGAAUUUACUAUAACAAUUGACAGAUGCUGUUAUCAACUGUAUACAAUUUAAAAAACAACGAAUGCAUACUCUAUCUUUAAUAUUUUGGUCGUUUUCAAAGCAUUGCAGUUGACUCUCCAUAAUCUCUGUGAACUUUGGAGCUAUGUCAUUGACAAAAGUGAAACCCCAAGGUGUUGUCCAACUAUUAACAAAAUCAUUAUAUUGGGGUAAAAGAAUCAGACUUACCAUAUUUCACAAAGAAUGCAUGAUGUUACAAAUCCCUCAUUUUCUUAAUUAAAGUUCCUUCCAAUGUUUUAUCCAGUGGGAGAAGUAUAAUAUAUUGAUUAUCUAAAUUCAAAUUGGAUAUUAGAAUUCAUGUUUUGACAACGGAAGAACAAUACAAUCUCAUCAUAUCAGUACCAGCACCUAUUUGAUGUUUAUUAGAAAGAAUUUUUUUUGGGAAAAAUGAGUUUUGGAAUGGUUUUUUUUUUUUUUUGUUGAAAGGUAAUAAAAUAUUUUAUUGUGAGAAUGUGAUUGAAAGUGAGUUUUAAAAAAGAGUUUUUUGGGGAACGAUAGACAAAUAAGAGUUAAAUGCCAGUAAUCACAGCUUCAAAGUGUUCUAGUAUUUGGGAAUGAUAUCAUUAUAAAUUUAUGAAAAUAAGUAGAUAAAGAUAUUUUCAUUUUGGUCUUUUCACAUGCCAAAGGUUGAUGCAUAUGGAAGCCAAUUUUAAUAAUUUAUCAUAUUAAAUUUAAUAUAAAAGAAGAAAUUCACGAAGUAAAGGAAAGACAUUUCUCUCUCAUUAUAAUAUCAUUUAAAUAAUAACAAUGGGAGAAAAAUCGUGGUAGAACCUUUUGAAAAGGUACAUGAAAUUCACGACAACUUAUAAAUGUUGACUUCAGUAGAGACGACUAUUGAUAUCUCAAUGUGUAAAAUCUCACAACAAACUACUCUACUUUACAAAAAAUAUGGUACAUUAAAACAAUUAUUUAUAUUAUUUGUAACAUGUGGAUCAAAAAUAUUUUUAUUAUAUAUAUGUAUUAUAAGUGAAACUGUGUUUAUGAUACAACAGAUUGGUUUGUUCAACAGCUAAUACAUCCCCAGGAAAAUUGAUUCCAAUUGAGUUAGUAAACAAAGAAUUAGGCGGAGAAGUUUAAUGGGAACACAAGAACCAUUGCUGUACAAAAUUGAUAUACUUUGAAAAAAAAGUUGAUUAGCCAAAUGCUUUUCACCAUACAAGCCAUAAAAAUUUCCUGCAUAAUAAAUACAAUUGAAUAUUAAAGAAAAAUGAAUGGUAUGAUUCAAUAUAACGAUUGUUUCCAUCUCAGAAAAACAAGCUUUGCAGCGUGCAUCAUUUAGCCUAUGUUUGGCCCUACUGAAAUUAUAAUUUUUUUUCUCUAUCUUCUUAUCAACCAUAUAUUCUUCAAUAAAAUAAUAUUACACGUUAUCCUAAAACAUUUUUUCUUUCUUAAUCACACAAUUUAAAAAAGAAACACUAUUACAAAGGGUGUAUAAUCAAAGCAGGAGGCUAUGCUAGAAGAAGAGUAAAGUCGUAAUUAAAGAAAAUGUAAAUGACUUGAUAUGUUAGAACUUUUCAUUGAAUGCACAAUUCCAUAUAUUCAGAGUACUAACGGAUUAAGUUCGAUAAACUAAAUAGAAAAAAAAAUGGACCGGUAAAAGAUUGAAAAUAAGAGAAUAUCAUCUUACCCAAACUAAUUAGUAGCUUUAGAAAAAGCUUUCUUUGGACAAAGUCCCAGUUCAUGCAUAUAAAUUUCCUCAAAGAACCAAAUUUAACAGCUUCAAGGUGAAGACAUUGUCAACAUAUUAUCUGGUCACAAAGGCGAUUAAUUUGAAUGGUCUCAAAACUAGUUAAUACAAGAUCGGAUAUAUCAUACUGUAAUUUCUUCUUAUUCUCUUUUGCAAAAUCAUCAAAUGAACUCUCUUCGCCAAUGACUUGUAGCACCCGAACUUUUUCGAGAUCGGAGUUAGAAUGCCUCCACUCAGAAAAAUUAACUUAUUUAAUGCCAAUAUGUACAAAUGUUUAAUGGCGGCCUUUUUUACAUUUCUAUGAGAUUUAGAUUUAUGUAAAUCUUCCAUUUCCUGAUUAAUGAUCACUUCCAGAGUAUUUGCACAUUUUGCAUAAGUAAUAAUUGCGCGAUUAAUAUCCACUGCAUAGCUCCUUUUCUAAUUAGCUCCAACAAAACCUUUUGCUAUAUAGUCUUCGUGAUAAAGUUUUAAAUAUAAGUUAAUAUCUUUAGUUGAAUUGUGAUAAAGUAAUGGAAGAGAAUAUAACAACCAACUUAACAUUUAAAAAAAAAAGAAUAAAUUUCAAAAAGUGCCAAUCCUUAAAUUGGGAGAUGCUCUUCCCCCACAUUAAAGAAGCUUGAGCUUGUUGCACAUUUUCUAUAUUCUCAUAUAUGCUUGUGAUUCACAAGUAAUUGAGAUAAAAUAAUGAUAUAUAAUAUAAACAUUCCAUCCUACAUAUAAAAGAGUGGAAGAAUUGCCGGACACAUGUUGAGCCAAGCACUUGACGAUAUUCAGUUAGAUCACAUCCAGGUGAGCCAUCAUCAAGCUUGAGCGUUUCUGAAAUAGAUAUUGGGGUACUAACUUCCUUUGCCUCUUGCAUAUUAGUUCGUUGAAGAAGCUCUAGAAAAUACUUUCUUUGAGAUAAGAACAAACCAUUGAAGGUCCGAGUUGUUUCAACACCUAAGAAGUAGCCAAGUUUAUUGAGAUCUUUGAGAGAGAACCUAUUAGAUAGCUAACCGGUGAACUCUUGAAGAGUUGGAGGAUGAUUGCUGGUGAGUAUAAUGUCAUCUUGGAGUAUUACGCUAGAUUCCUAUCUUAUGAUGAUUUCGAUAUUCCUUUUCCAAUUGUCAUGCUAUUAUCAAUAUUAAGGUGAUAAUUAUAGAUAGGUUUGAUCAUUGACGACUUUAUAUGAGAAGACCGAUUGUCAACAUGGCCAAUUGUUGAAAUUGGUUCUACCAUGAAAUGUUGUGCCUAGUGCUCUAUGGGUGCUACUGAUCCGUCCUUAUAACAUGUGAUGUCAAUCUUCUAUUGAUUUGUGACUUUGUUUAAAGCUACAACACUUUUUACAUUGCAAAUGUUGUUUGUUCUUUUCUGAUAAUAGUGAUUCUUCCUAUUUCUUAAAAUUCUUCUGAAUGUUGGUAGUGUCUAUUGUUUUAACAAUUUCAGAAAGUAAGUUCUUCUUGGAUUUUUUGCUAAGUUAAUAAUAUAUAAUAGGGCAAGCCAAAAAUGAGAAAUGAUUGCUUAUUCUCUAAGUAACUUUAACAAUAUUGCCUAACUAAUUAGCUAAUCAUAUUCUAUUAACUAUUUAUAUGUUUACAGUUGAGAAUGUUAAGCAACAUUGUUUUCCUGUUUUCCUAAUGCUCUUAAUUGUCCCAUGCUGGAAGAGAACGACUUCAAAAAUGACAGUGUGAGUUGCUUUUGAUUUCUUUUUAUUUUUAGGGCUAGAGAAAGUCUACCUAUUAUUUCACACAAUUACAAAAUUCUAUAGUUCUAUGGGAGCCAUAUGUGGUGUUGGUGUGGUUAAGGGAUUCGGAAAGACCCUGUACAUGACCAAGGGUGGUGGUGCUAAUGUAGUAGCCUACAGUUACACCAAGGGUGAUGCCCUAGCUGCUGAAAUUGUCGUUACCUCUGUGCUCGUUUACACUAUUUUCUCUACUACUGAUGCCAAACAUAAAGCUAGAGACUCACAAGUUCCUUUAAGCAUUCCACUUGUCUUUGUAGGCCUGUUUCUCUUGCCAUUAUUGAUUAGACUUAAGCGAAUAUAAAUCAUUCUUCAUAUUAGGGGUGUGUUUGAGCCUUAUUAUUUGGCAUUAUAAUGAGAUGAAUUGUGUUUUUUUCUUUUAAAUGAGUGGUUGAAAUUUUUUUGAUUUACAUGUAAUAUUAUUUUAUUAAAGAUUGUGUGGUUAAAAGUAGGAGAGAGAAAAUUUUAAUUUAAUGUAAUAAGAAAUAAUGGGGCUCAAACGGGGGCUAGGUAUGAUUAAAUGUGAUUGAGCUUGAACAAGAAUUGUCUUCUGUAUCUAUAAGAAUCUCUGUUUAGGUUUGGAUUUGAGUUUAUGUAUAUUCUAUAUAUUUAUUUUACUCUAUUUAUAACAUUUCUUGAUUACUAAGAUAAAUCAAUAUCUUUGGCUGAUGAGUGUGUGUUAAUAGAAGUGGUUCCUUGCCUAUCAUAUUCUCAAACGUCCUUGUUCGGAGCAUAUUUGGCUAAGCUUAAGCUUUACUUAUAUUUAUUAGGUAAAUAAGUAAGUUGUGUAAUAAACAUAUUUUUUAUUGGUCAAGGUUGUAACUUGUUAUUAUUUGAAAGUAAGAAAGGUAAACACGUUUGUAAAUAAUGUACUUUUUUAAGCAUAGCCAAGUAUUCAAAGAGUUAUUAUUUUCCAUGAUUUUAGAUAUUUUUGUUUUGUUUUUUAGUGUUGAUUUAUGUAUUUUAUUUAAUCGGUCAACAUGAAGAUGUAAGAAAGGUUGAAUACAGAGUAUGGAAUCCGUUCCACUCGAAAUUGGCAGUUGCCAUUCUUGGGGGAGUCAAUGAUAUUUGUCUAAUAUUUUAUUUAUAUCUAUUACCCUGAUAACAUGUGUGUUUUUGUCAUUAAUGCUGAUGCAUUUUAUAUAUCCAAUAAUCUUAUCUGCACAAUUUAUUUUCUGGUCUAUUUUGUUUUGAACCUGGUGCUCGGUGUCUUUUAUCUAGGAGCUACUUCAAGAACAAUUAUUUCUCAUGUAUCUAAUCUGGUUGGCCCUACAAGUAAUUUUCUUUUUCAGAGCUCUAUCAUUUCUCCAUAUAUUUCAUGGAGUGGUGUUUAUGAAAUCCUAUUUGUAAUUACGUUGUUUGCAGAUUGGAAUGGUAUACACAAUGAAAUUUUCUCACAUAAGCAAUAGGGACUUGGUCAACAUGGCGAAUAAGAGGGUGAAUGUUAUUCCUUUUUUAAAAUCAUUUUCGCAAUGAACUUUUCUUGUUUAUAUGCAUCUUUAUUUUGUAUGUAUAAUUUGGAAAUUGAUGAAUAUGAUCAGGGUUUUUCAUUAACUUCUUUUGCAUAUUGAUUUUGUUAGUUGGAAAUUUCACAUUAAUUAGCUCUAACUCUCUCCGUUGAGGCGUUAGUUUUAAGGCUCCCCUUUUUAAAGUAAAUCUUUACCUGGUCAUUUUGUCGUCUACUUUACGGUCAAGUGAUUUUCUUAUGGAUUUUGUUUGUUAGUGCCAAUUUAUUGGUUGUAGCGACAUGGAUUAUGAUUUUGCGUUAGAUUAAUUAAACUUUCAUUGAAGUAACUUAAAUAUUUUAUUGGGGUCUCUUUUCUUACUUAAUAUUGAUGUAUAAUUGUAUAUGAUGAGGGUCUUCUACUUAACUUCUUCUGCAUAUUAAUUUUGUUAGUUGAGAAAUUCGUGUUAAUUAGUUCUCUCUCAAUAUAGUUUUUUCUAUGUCAUUCUUAAAUUCGUGUCAAUUCAAGUUAUUACUAAUUUUUUGGUUCUUGAAAAAAGGUUUCUGAUUUUGCAUAUGAUUAGCCUUUCAUCUGAUGUAAACUAUUAUAUGUGAGGGAUUCAGAAAAAAAAUUGUAAUAUGUGGGCUCUUCUUUAGUUAUGAUUAUAUUCUGCUCGUUGUCAUGCCUUUUUACCACAAAAUAUGUUUGGUAUCAUUAUAUAAGAAACUGAUUCUGAAUUUUCAGUUCUGAUUUUAAAAUUCGUCUGCGCCCUUGUGUAAUUCAUUCUUUUAUAGUUUGACGAUGCCUAUGCUCUGUGGGUCUUUUUGUAUAGAAUGAGAGAUUAGUGGUUUAAACUGUUGGUUUUUAUGUAACUGAAUAUUAGGUUAAAUGCCAUCUUUUAUUAUGAAUUCUGAAUAAAAUCGUUUGCCAACUUUAUUACCCAUUACCUAAUUGCCUUUGUUGCAUUGUACAUGUGCUGAGAACACAUUAUUCUAGUUUUGAAACCCAUAUUCAUAAAUUAUUUAAGAUUAUGGUUGUGAAUUCAACAUAAUUGCACUAGUUACAUAGUGAUGUGGUAUAAAGGAUUCUUUUGCCUUUCCCUCAAUAAUUAGUUUGAUGCUCUUAAUUAAUGUAGUAAUGUUUUAUUGCAUUGUUGUUCCAGAAAGGGUCGGGGCUCUGCAUAUGGCCAAGGAUGAGACAGCUUUGGCUAACUCGCCACAAGGUCUUGAAUGGCAUUGAUAAGAGCCUCACAAAUCCAUACACAAGAGUCUUUCUUAGACUUGGUUUUUACUUAAUUGGGAAACGAAAUGUGGCCUGCAGUACUCCAGCAUGGUUAUGUACUAUUAUGGUCUGAGAGUUUAGGCAAUUCGUGCACUAGAUUGCUCAGUUUGUAAUGUUUGAUUCAUGUUCCGAUACUUGUUUUGGAUCAUUUGAUUAUUGUGAUGUAUUACUUUGAAUGCCCGGGUAUCCCCAGAGUAGUUGUACCCACAAUUUUGAUUAAUAUAAUUUAUUUACCUGAUCCAAAAAGAAAAAAAAAUAGGA
RNAcentral lists this long non-coding RNA (25821 nucleotides) under Olea europaea (common olive). RNAcentral describes it as "long non-coding RNA (OEUR_LNC010702)". The record is from RNAcentral. Lineage: Eukaryota; Viridiplantae; Streptophyta; Magnoliopsida; Lamiales; Oleaceae.